AACCAUAGAAACCUGCGGAGUACCUGCGGAAGGAUCAUUACAGAGUUGCAAAACUCCCUAAACCAUUGUGAACGUUACCUAAACCGUUGCUUCGGCGGGCGGCCCGGGUCCUUCCCGGCGCCCCUCGGCCCUCGCGGGCGCCCGCCGGAGGUAAACCAAACUAUUGCAUUGUAUGGCCUCUCUGAGUCCUCUGUACUGAAUAAGUCAAAACUUUUAACAAUGGAUCUCAGAUCGGAAGAG
This 240-nucleotide unclassified non-coding RNA is filed under the name soil metagenome. Its description in RNAcentral is "partial contains 5.8S ribosomal RNA, internal transcribed spacer 2, and large subunit ribosomal RNA". The record is from RNAcentral.